This 74-nucleotide transfer RNA is filed under the name Bacteroidota bacterium. RNAcentral describes it as "Bacteroidetes bacterium (activated sludge metagenome) tRNA-Arg". It matches the Rfam family "tRNA". Rfam says of the family: Transfer RNA (tRNA) molecules are approximately 80 nucleotides in length. Lineage: Bacteria; Pseudomonadati; Bacteroidota. The record is from RNAcentral.
GGCCUCGUAGCUCAGCUGGAUAGAGCAACAGCCUUCUAAGCUGUGGGUCAGGGGUUCGAAUCCCUUCGGGGUCA